This 73-nucleotide transfer RNA is filed under the name Stegodyphus mimosarum. It matches the Rfam family "tRNA". Rfam says of the family: Transfer RNA (tRNA) molecules are approximately 80 nucleotides in length. Their secondary structure includes four short double-helical elements and three loops (D, anti-codon, and T loops). The record is from Rfam by way of RNAcentral. Lineage: Eukaryota; Metazoa; Arthropoda; Arachnida; Araneae; Eresidae.
GCCUUCGUGGUGUAGUGGUCAGCACGCUUGACGCAUAUUCGAGAGGUCUGUGGUUCGAGUCCCGGUGAGGGCA